AUCAGCUGUCAGCCCAAACCACACCUUUUUUGCCACCAAAAAAGAGACUAGGACUCUUGUCGCUAUCCUAAUACAUUUACUUACACCUUCCUUUUAAAAUGCAGUUAUUUGAUGUUUUUUUAUGAAAAAAAGACCUGUCUUGGAUAAAUGUACCCUGUCAUGCCUAUACAGUUCGGGCACAUCCACCCUGAUAUUUAAUUACAUGCCCACCUGCUGCUAGCACAGUUCUUGCCAUGUCCCUGUUUAGUUUUCUUUUGACUCAGAAGUCAGGUCUUUGGGAGCUUUUAUAUCUCCAUGUUAUCUUGGAAAUUAUGUACGACUAUACAAUAGAUGAGGCAGGAAAUUGCCUCAUGAUCCACCUUUAGCCUGACCUCAUUAUAUUUGAGAGCUACCCAAUGGUCAUGGAGCUUACAUCGUUCCCGCCCAGAUGUAAGAUUAUGAUAACUG
Molecule: non-coding RNA, 447 nt
Organism: Pelobates cultripes (western spadefoot toad)
Lineage: Eukaryota; Metazoa; Chordata; Amphibia; Anura; Pelobatidae
Source: the annotation of a GenBank genome assembly